RNAcentral lists this ribosomal RNA (480 nucleotides) under uncultured bacterium. RNAcentral describes it as "bacterial SSU rRNA". It matches the Rfam family "Bacterial small subunit ribosomal RNA", at positions 28 to 506 of the family's 1533-position model. The record is from RNAcentral.
GAUGAACGCUAGCGGCAGGCUUAACACAUGCAAGUCGAGGGGCAACACGGGUAGCAAUACCUGGUGGCGACCGGCGCAAGGGUGCGUAACGCGUGAGCAACAUGCCCUAUACAGGGGGAUAAUCCAGGGAAACUUGGUCUAAUAUCCCAUAGUAUUUAGAGGUGGCAUCACCACUAAAUUAAAGCUUCGGUGGUAUAGGAUUGGCUCGCGUGACAUUAGCUGGAUGGUGGGGUAACGGCUCACCAUGGCGAUGAUGUCUAGGGGUUCUGAGAGGAAGACCCCCCACACUGGGACUGAGACACGGCCCAGACUCCUACGGGAGGCAGCAGUGAGGAAUAUUGGACAAUGGAUGGAAAUCUGAUCCAGCCAUGCCGCGUGCAGGAAGACGGCCCUAUGGGUUGUAAACUGCUUUUAAUGGGACAAUAAGGUUUACCGUAGACCGAUGAGAGUACCAUAUGAAUAAGCAUCGGCUAACUCCGU